UACGGAGGGGGCUAGCGUUGUUCGGAAUUACUGGGCGUAAAGCGCGCGUAGGCGGUUUCUUAAGUCAGAGGUGAAAGCCCGGAGCUCAACUCCGGAAUAGCCUUUGAGACUGGGAGACUUGAAUCCAGGAGAGGUGAGUGGAAUUCCGAGUGUAGAGGUGAAAUUCGUAGAUAUUCGGAGGAACACCAGUGGCGAAGGCGGCUCACUGGCUCGACACUGACGCUGAGGUGCGAAAGCGUGGGGAGCAAACAGG
Molecule: ribosomal RNA, 253 nt
Filed under: uncultured bacterium
Lineage: Bacteria
Description: partial 16S ribosomal RNA
Rfam family: Bacterial small subunit ribosomal RNA
Source: RNAcentral